Long non-coding RNA from Felis catus (domestic cat), 1996 nucleotides. RefSeq lists it as uncharacterized. Lineage: Eukaryota; Metazoa; Chordata; Mammalia; Carnivora; Felidae. The record is from RefSeq and is a predicted model, not a curated record. The transcript is spliced from 2 exons.
AAAAAAAAAAAGAGUGUCCGCUCUGGCCUGUGGGGCCCACAUAAUGCUGGACGUAAAAGGGUCAGGCAGUCAUUUGGGGUGGAGGUUUCGUGGUAUUGCACCACGGGCUGUUGAGGCCUCUGUGUUUCUGUCCACUUAGUGGGGAGGGAGGUUAGCGGCCCAGACUCCAUCAGGCAACGACUCUUUCCACUUCUGUAGCAGGAGGAGAGACCUUUGAUGAGCAGGCCCAGGAGCUGGUGGCCAGAAAACACAGAGAGCUCGGACGGUCUUGGGAAGGAAGGCCAGGCAUUGGCAUCAUGGACCGAGCUAAGCAAGGCUCCUCAGCAGCCCUGCGUGGCCAGGACUCUGGUCACCUCUGCACGGGCACGCAGGCAAAGACCGGGAAUGGAACGCAAAUCACAGUGAAGACCCUAAUUGCAAACAGACUGGUGGAUGAAGAAACCUCCAAUUGUCUUUCUCCUGUAGCAGCAGAACUGCUGGCCAAGGGCAGGUCACGUCAGAAGAUUCAGGACUAUGGAUGAGGUCCACAGGCUCAGGUUUCAGGCAGUAGUUCUAACACACGGUUCACACUGCCUCAACUCAAGGAUCCAAGGACGCCUCAGUGCUGAAGAAAGAGUUGAAAAAGCGCAUUGCUCCAUCCCUCUUCUCCAGAAAACCUGAGCCUGUUUCCACAAGAGGGACCUUAGAACAUGUUCCUAUGUCAUUCAUUACUGCUUAUUUCGGCUCUUCGUUCGUGCUGUGCUUCUCGUUUCAAAAUUUUAGCACGUGCGCUGUGAAAGCAAGUGCCAUCUUAUGCUUAUGGAUGGCCCAUUUAGGGGUGAACAGUCACUCUUCGAGUUGAAUAGAAUGACAGUAUUUCAGUACUCACAUAGGAUGGAAGGAAGAGGUCUGAAUGAGUCACAUACUUAUGUUGAACACAACCGGUGAACAAAUACACUCUACUCAGUUCAUUAUUAUUCAACUGGUUUACUCUACCAGUCCAAUGGAAUGAAGUUAUGGGCAGUGGGAGAGAGCAAGUUCAUGUCUGGAUGCUUGUGCCCCAAUUAAUGUCUUCAUGUGUCCCCAGUAGACCAUACAGAUAAGACUUUGGCCAUCCUCUCUGUUGGGGCGGCUUGUAUCUCUCCUCUUAAAAAGUUCUUCGUGAAACAAAACUUAGGUUUUGAAGUUUGGAACGGGUAAUGGGGGAUUUUUGUUUGUUAAAGCUGACUUUAAAGAACCUAAAUUAAGACAGAGUACUUAAAAAAAAAAUAGGCCAAGGGAAUGCGGAAAACAAACACACUUGAAGGGAAAGCAUAGAUUUGCUAAAAUACUGACUUUCUUGCCCCAAAACAAAGAUGAUCCCAACAUUUCACUUCAUACACCAACGUCUUCUAUUUUGCGUUAGAUUUAAAUGAGCUGAACCCUCACAGUAAAACAUGUCACCAAGUUCUAAUCACGAGAAACAAAUUACUGAAAAAGUUUUUCUACUUUAUGGAAAAAUUUUAGAAAUUGUCUACUUAGUCAUAAAAAUGUUCUCAUAUCUCCUUUUAUCUUUUAAGUCAUCCAAGGGCCAGAUGUUGAGAAACUGGGGUGAAGGCUUUCCCUUUACUCCAAACAACUCGCAGCCUGUAAUGCAGCUUAAUUAAAUAAUUGCUUUGGGCUGUCUUGAGUAUAAUUAAUCAUUUAGCCCUAGAGGUUGCUGGAAACAACAGUGGACACAAAACUCAAGGAUUCAGGGUUUCUGAGAUGUAAAAUUUUGAUGUUCUCACAGCCCUUGCUGGCCCCGAGCUAGAUAAGCGAGUGUAAUUUAAGCUGAAUGUCAUAGAUAUUUAGUUGUAAACUUGGAGCUGGAAGUAUCUCGGAGUAUGGAAUUUAAAUCCAGCAGACUCUGAAAUUGGGGCUUUUUUCCCCGGCCAGAGUCGGGGCAGGAAAAUGAAGACCAUGGGUACCUUUUCCAGGGAAAGACAGGAGGAUCCUGGACCGGCCUCCAUGGUGGGGAGCGAGGCUGAGUUCUUGG